RNAcentral lists this ribosomal RNA (1443 nucleotides) under uncultured organism. RNAcentral describes it as "SSU rRNA". It matches the Rfam family "Bacterial small subunit ribosomal RNA". The record is from RNAcentral.
UCUAGCUACAGGCUUAACACAUGCAAGUCGAGGGGCAGCAUGGUCUUAGCUUGCUAAGGCCGAUGGCGACCGGCGCACGGGUGAGUAACACGUAUCCAACCUGCCGUCUACUCUUGGACAGCCUUCUGAAAGGAAGAUUAAUACAAGAUGGCAUCAUGAGUCCGCAUGUUCACAUGAUUAAAGGUAUUCCGGUAGACGAUGGGGAUGCGUUCCAUUAGAUAGUAGGCGGGGUAACGGCCCACCUAGUCUUCGAUGGAUAGGGGUUCUGAGAGGAAGGUCCCCCACAUUGGAACUGAGACACGGUCCAAACUCCUACGGGAGGCAGCAGUGAGGAAUAUUGGUCAAUGGGCGAGAGCCCGAACCAGCCAAGUAGCGUGAAGGAUGACUGCCCUAUGGGUUGUAAACUUCUUUUAUAAAGGAAUAAAGUCGGGUAUGGAUACCCGUUUGCAUGUACUUUAUGAAUAAGGAUCGGCUAACUCCGUGCCAGCAGCCGCGGUAAUACGGAGGAUCCGAGCGUUAUCCGGAUUUAUUGGGUUUAAAGGGAGCGUAGAUGGAUGUUUAAGUCAGUUGUGAAAGUUUGCGGCUCAACCGUAAAAUUGCAGUUGAUACUGGAUAUCUUGAGUGCAGUUGAGGCAGGCGGAAUUCGUGGUGUAGCGGUGAAAUGCUUAGAUAUCACGAAGAACUCCGAUUGCGAAGGCAGCCUGCUAAGCUGCAACUGACAUUGAGGCUCGAAAGUGUGGGUAUCAAACAGGAUUAGAUACCCUGGUAGUCCACACGGUAAACGAUGAAUACUCGCUGUUUGCGAUAUACUGCAAGCGGCCAAGCGAAAGCGUUAAGUAUUCCACCUGGGGAGUACGCCGGCAACGGUGAAACUCAAAGGAAUUGACGGGGGCCCGCACAAGCGGAGGAACAUGUGGUUUAAUUCGAUGAUACGCGAGGAACCUUACCCGGGCUUAAAUUGCAGAUGAAUUACGGUGAAAGCCGUAAGCCGCAAGGCAUCUGUGAAGGUGCUGCAUGGUUGUCGUCAGCUCGUGCCGUGAGGUGUCGGCUUAAGUGCCAUAACGAGCGCAACCCUUGUUGUCAGUUACUAACAGGUUCCGCUGAGGACUCUGACAAGACUGCCAUCGUAAGAUGUGAGGAAGGUGGGGAUGACGUCAAAUCAGCACGGCCCUUACGUCCGGGGCUACACACGUGUUACAAUGGGGGGUACAGAGGGCCGCUACCACGCGAGUGGAUGCCAAUCCCCAAAACCUCUCUCAGUUCGGACUGGAGUCUGCAACCCGACUCCACGAAGCUGGAUUCGCUAGUAAUCGCGCAUCAGCCACGGCGCGGUGAAUACGUUCCCGGGCCUUGUACACACCGCCCGUCAAGCCAUGGGAGCCGGGGGUACCUGAAGUGCGUAACCGCGAGGAGCGCCCUAGGGUAAAACUGGUGACUGGGGCU